Long non-coding RNA from Dalotia coriaria, 370 nucleotides. RefSeq lists it as uncharacterized. The record is from RefSeq and is a predicted model, not a curated record. NCBI's taxonomy places the organism in Eukaryota, Metazoa, Arthropoda, Insecta, Coleoptera, Staphylinidae. The transcript has 3 exons.
AUCCUCAAAUGGCACAACUUGUAGAUAUUGCAAAGUUAAUAACUUUACGAGUUGAUCAAUUCAUAAGUUGUAUGCGGCCACCUUUAAAUCCUUCAAUUCUGGAAGCAAGAGCAGCUUCCUUGACUCUAACAGUUACACACCUUGCCAUUAUGACUCAAUAUGAGUGCCGCAGCGAUAAUUUACCAGCAGAAUGGAUUUCCAAAUUGUUGAAUAACAUUCAGAAACAUAUUGAUUUAUUAAAUUGUGAAACUGAGAACUUCUUUCAUUCAAAGCAAAGCAUCCAAAUUCUGAAUACUCCAAUAAGUAUUUAAAAGUAUUCACUGCAUAAACUUACUGCAACAAAAGUAAUAAAAGAACUCCUUAUUCAAUA